CGGGUGCGUAACGCGUAUGCAAUCUACCUUUUACAGAGGGACAGCCCAGAGAAAUUUGGAUUAAUACCUCAUAGUAUAACGACCUGGCAUCAGGAUGUUAUUAAAGUUACAACGGUAAAAGAUGAGCAUGCGUCCCAUUAGUUAGUUGGUAAGGUAACGGCUUACCAAGACGAUGAUGGGUAGGGGUCCUGAGAGGGAGAUCCCCCACACUGGUACUGAGACACGGACCAGACUCCUACGGGAGGCAGCAGUGAGGAAUAUUGGACAAUGGGCGCAAGCCUGAUCCAGCCAUGCCGCGUGCAGGAAGACGGUCCUAUGGAUUGUAAACUGCUUUUGUACAGGAAGAAACACUACUUCGUGAAGUAGCUUGACGGUACUGUAAGAAUAAGGAUCGGCUAACUCCGUGCCAGCAGCCGCGGUAAUACGGAGGAUCCAAGCGUUAUCCGGAAUCAUUGGGUUUAAAGGGUCCGUAGGCGGUUUAAUAAGUCAGUGGUGAAAUCUGGUCGCUCAACGAUCAAACGGCCAUUGAUACUGUUAAACUUGAAUUAUUGUGAAGUAACUAGAAUAUGUAGUGUAGCGGUGAAAUGCUUAGAUAUUACAUGGAAUACCAAUUGCGAAGGCAGGUUACUAACAAUAUAUUGACGCUGAUGGACGAAAGCGUGGGUAGCGAACAGGAUUAGAUACCCUGGUAGUCCACGCCGUAAACGAUGGAUACUAGCUGUUGGGCGCAAGUUCAGUGGCUAAGCGAAAGUGAUAAGUAUCCCACCUGGGGAGUACGUUCGCAAGAAUGAAACUCAAAGGAAUUGACGGGGGCCCGCACAAGCGGUGGAGCAUGUGGUUUAAUUCGAUGAUACGCGAGGAACCUUACCAAGGCUUAAAUGUAGAUUGACCGGUUUGGAAACAGACUUUUCGCAAGACAAUUUACAAGGUGCUGCAUGGUUGUCGUCAGCUCGUGCCGUGAGGUGUCAGGUUAAGUCCUAUAACGAGCGCAACCCCUGUUGUUAGUUGCCAGCGAGUCAUGUCGGGAACUCUAACAAGACUGCCAGUGUAAACUGUGAGGAAGGUGGGGAUGACGUCAAAUCAUCACGGCCCUUACGCCUUGGGCUACACACGUGCUACAAUGGACGGUACAGAGAGCAGCCACUGGGUGACCAGGAGCGAAUCUACAAAACCGUUCUCAGUUCGGAUCGGAGUUUGCAACUCGACUCCGUGAAGCUGAAUCGCUAGUAAUC
This 1232-nucleotide ribosomal RNA is filed under the name Flavobacteriaceae bacterium 2(2008). RNAcentral's name for it is "bacterial SSU rRNA". It matches the Rfam family "Bacterial small subunit ribosomal RNA", at positions 103 to 1343 of the family's 1533-position model. The record is from RNAcentral. Lineage: Bacteria; Pseudomonadati; Bacteroidota; Flavobacteriia; Flavobacteriales; Flavobacteriaceae.